Molecule: RNA transcript, 2711 nt
Organism: Nymphaea colorata (pocket water lily)
Lineage: Eukaryota; Viridiplantae; Streptophyta; Magnoliopsida; Nymphaeales; Nymphaeaceae
Gene name: presenilin-like protein At1g08700
Exons: 3
Source: RefSeq, a predicted model, not a curated record
GUUAUGUCAUUCAUCGUGUGGAUUUUUGAGGCAGAGACGGUCACUAGAUGCCCAUAAUGGCGCCUACCAUCGUUAUUAUUCAGAAACCAAUGAUGGAGUUUCGGGUUACUCAUAGUCAACAGGCAUAAAAAGGAAAAGGGCAGGGGAAAAACACGAGUAAAACUAAACGGAAGAAAAAAGACAGAGUGAAGCCCCUGCAAACUGCAAGCCCCCGCUCCAGAAGAUCAACCAAAGUCAUCGAAGGCACCACUUCACGUAGGUAUUUCACAAAUUCGCCUCGAAUUGCCCUUUUCCCUGGUUAGAUGAUAUAGUUGUUUGUGGCGAUUAUCCUCUUUUGUCAUGCUAUGGGAGGUCUGUUGUCGAACAAUUUGCUGAAACACCCUUAUGAAGGAUGAGCGUGGAGGGCAUAGAUCGAUAAUAUUUGGGUGCCGCUGUUGUGGUUCAAAAAUAUUCUUGUCGCAAUUUAUGCGGAAUGGUGCCCGAAGGUUGAUGUCUUCAGUUUUUGAACUAGCCCAGGUUAUAUCGGCCAAAGACACUUGGCGCGCCAAAAUUUCUGUUUCUGAAUGAAUGUCCUUUCAAGAUUCUGCAAGGCCUACCGAGAACGAGGAGUUACUUCCGUAUUUCCUCGAUGAAUCAUUUUUUGUAGUUCAAGACCCACACUACAGAACUGAGUGGGGAUUCGUUUUCAAAAGAAUGCUUAACAUUUGAUAACCUGAAAUUUCAAGGCGUACCAACUCUACAGCAACUCUAAAUGGGGAUUCUUUUGUAAUUUGUUUUCUCCGACUCUGAAUUGUCGCAUUAAGGGUCUGAAAGACCAAGAUUUGGUAUAAUGGAGAAGAGUAUUCUGGAAGAGUUGGGCCUCGAAAUUAUUGGGGUGAUGGCGCCGGUAUCAAUUUGUAUGUUUCUCGUGGUUCUUCUAGUUUACACCAUUGUUCCACAAGGGUCAGAAUCUCCAAUUAGCUCAGCAGCCACCCUAGUUUACCUGGAGAAACCCACGGACUCAAACACAGAGAAGUUUGAAGGUGCACUUUUGAAUGCCGUGGUUUUCGUGAUACUGAUAGCAGUGGUUACGUUUAUUUUGGUUUUGCUCUACUACUAUCGUUGCACUAAUUUUCUGAAGAAUUACAUGCGCUUCUCAACAUUUAUCAUUCUUGGGUCUAUGGGGGGAUCCAUUUUCUUAUCCAUUAUUCAGCAUUUUUCCAUUCCACUUGAUGUGAUCACGUGCUCUAUAUUGCUUUACAACUUCUCCGUUGUUGGUGUGCUCUCGGUCUUUUCUGGUGGUGUCCCCAUUCUUGUCCGGCAGAUUUACAUGGUUGUGUUGGGAAUAACUGUUGCUGCCUGGUUUACCAAGCUCCCUGAGUGGACCACUUGGGUGAUCUUAGUUGCACUGGCUUUGUAUGAUCUGGUUGCUGUUUUGGCACCUGGUGGACCAUUGAAGCUUCUAGUUGAGCUCGCUUCAAGUCGGGAUGAAGAGCUUCCAGCCCUGGUCUAUGAGGCUCGUCCUACAGUUUCACGCCGUGAGGACUCUGCACUGAAUCUUUUGGUUGCUGGUGUUUCAGCAUCAGCAGAAGUCAGAGAGGAGAAUCCAAGUCCUCAAGUUAGACCAGCGGUUGAACUUCAGCCUGCCAGAAGCCCUACAAGGGUGAUACAUUCUUCAGAAAGUGCUGAAUAUCAGAUGAUUUCAUAUGAGGGACAUACUUCUAGAAACAGAGAUACUGUGCAUGGGAAUGCACAGACAUUCGGAAAUAUACUCACUGAAUCAACUGGUAUGGAGUUUGAGAGGAAUGAUGAGGAGGAAUCACCUUUGGUGAGUCACAAUGAUACAGAUGUGGAGGCGGGGACCCAUAGGAUUGAAGACGGUAUAAAAGUGCACCUAUCAACGUGGGCUCCAGGUUGCAGGAUUCACACUGGGUGCUGGUGAAGGUGGGAGUUGCUGUUUUGAGUCACCAACUUCAAUCAUUGGUUAUGUGACAACUGCACUCAAGUUCAGCCAAUGUGAAUUUGUUGGGAAGCUUUUGACUUUGUGAGCUAUGCCCAUGUAUGAAAUCUCCAGCAAGGCAGCAACUGUGUUCAGUGUAGCAUGCAAAUCAGAAGCACAUAAACCACUUGAGAAGAUGGAAGAUAGAGAUUGAUGCAAAGAAAGAUGGUGGGUUAUACGUAUUGAAGAAGUCUAUUAGUGGUUUCAGUGGUGGUCUAUAUCCCUGUUUUCCAUGUGUCUACUGGCUGUUUCGCAUCUCGUCAUGUACGUGCACCAUUGGUUGAAUGGUGACAUUGAAAUGUUUAUAAUGGGAAUUGUUCUUGCAAAGUAAGCUUAAAAGCCUGUAGUUGUCGCUUUUCUGUGCACCAUGACAAGUGAGCCCACGAUUACAGGAAAUUAACACGAGUGAAUUCUGAACAGAGAAGAUCAGAUACUGAACCAGAGAUUGGGCUCUGACUUUUGAUUGAGUUAACGGCCCUCCUGGCUUUUAAGAUGAGGAAUCGCCUGUACUUAACUUCGACAAGAUUGCAUCAUUUCUUGGAACCGUGGGCAUCGAACGAGUCAAUGCCAUAAAAAACGUGUCGGGUGGGGCACCUGACAAAGUUAGAAAUGACUUGGUAAGCGCUUGUAUAUGUCCGAUGUAUGUGUGUAUAUCUGCAUAAACUGUAUUCAUGUCUUGCAUAUAUGAGUUUAUGUAUGAACGUAUAAAUAUAUAUAUAUAAUCUGUUGUAAA